This 491-nucleotide ribosomal RNA is filed under the name uncultured bacterium. RNAcentral's name for it is "partial 16S ribosomal RNA". It matches the Rfam family "Bacterial small subunit ribosomal RNA", at positions 29 to 506 of the family's 1533-position model. The record is from RNAcentral.
AGUGAACGCUGGCGGUAGGCCUAACACAUGCAAGUCGAACGGCAGCACAGUAAGAGCUUGCUCUUACGGGUGGCGAGUGGCGGACGGGUGAGGAAUACAUCGGAAUCUACUUUUUCGUGGGGGAUAACGUAGGGAAACUUACGCUAAUACCGCAUACGACCUACGGGUGAAAGCAGGGGAUCUUCGGACCUUGCGCGAUUGAAUGAGCCGAUGUCGGAUUAGCUAGUUGGCGGGGUAAAGGCCCACCAAGGCGACGAUCCGUAGCUGGUCUGAGAGGAUGAUCAGCCACACUGGAGCUUGGACACGGUCCAGCCUCCUACGUGAGGCAGCAGUGGGUAAUAUUGGACAAUGGGCGCAAGCCUGAUCCAGCCAUACCGCGUGGGUGAAGAAGGCCUUCGUGUUGUAAAGCCCUUUUGUUGGGAAAGAAAAGCAGCAGGUUAAUACCCCGCUGUUCUGACGGUACCCAAAGAAUAAGCACCGGCUAACUUCGU